Molecule: ribosomal RNA, 406 nt
Filed under: uncultured bacterium
Lineage: Bacteria
Description: partial 16S ribosomal RNA
Rfam family: Bacterial small subunit ribosomal RNA
Source: RNAcentral
GUUGAACGCUGGCGGCAGGCUUAACACAUGCAAGUCGAACGGGCGGCGGACGGGUGAGUAAGUUAUUCGGAUCUACCUGAUGGCGGGGGAUAACUUCUGGAAACGUUAGCUAAUACCGCAUACCAUCCGAUGAAACCAUAUGGGAUUAGCUUGUAGGUGAGGUAACGGCUCACCUAGGCGACGAUCCCUAGACGGUCUGAGAGGAUGAACAGCCACACUGGGACUGAGACACGGCCCAGACUCCUACGGGAGGCAGCAGUGGGGAAUAUUGCGCAAUGGGGGCAAGCCUGACGCAGCCAUGCCGAGUGAAUGAAGAAGGCCUUCGGGUUGUAAAGAUCUUUCGGUAGCGAGGCGUUAACUACAGAAGAAGCACCGGCUAACUACGUGCCAGCAGCAGCGGUAAUAC